RNAcentral lists this long non-coding RNA (1556 nucleotides) under Junco hyemalis (dark-eyed junco). RNAcentral describes it as "lncRNA (ENSJHYG00000010255.1)". The record is from RNAcentral. Lineage: Eukaryota; Metazoa; Chordata; Aves; Passeriformes; Passerellidae.
CUGUGAAUCAUGAAUUCUGUGACUAAUGUAUCCAGACUUACACUGGUAGACCUUUCUUUUUGUUUCAGGAUUUCAAAUGCAUUUAAAUCAUGGAAUCAUAGAAUCAGAAUAUGCUGAGUUGGAAGGCAUACAUCAGGAUCAUCGAGUCCAACUCCUGCACAUUAACAGCUUUUAGUUGUCCAUGUCUCAAACAAGGAAUCAUCAGUAUCAUGUGUGAAUUGCCUUCCUAAAGGAACUAGCAACCUGAGUCAUCAGGAUAGAUAACAUACAAAAUCUGCUGACUCUGGGAAGAUUUGUGUCCUGACCCAGAACCUCAGCUGUUACACGUCCCCUGAGCUUCAGCCUGGAACUUCUGGGUCCUCCUGUACCAAGUGGAGUGGAUAACAAUGAAGACCUAAGACUCUGGAGCCCACCACCAAGUCAUAUUGCCCUUACAUUCUUGUCACACCCAUGUACAUCUAGGAGAAGAUCUGGAAGAAAAAUGGCUCUGGAAACAGCAGAGAAUGUCUCAGUAACUUCAGUAGCAAAACCCCUUAUGUUCAUACUCUACCUCUAAUUAAAUAUUGAGAUCUCUGUUGAAAAUUGUAUCCUUUUCAAAUGCUAACAAGUGAUUACACAUGUAUAAGAACCUACAAGGAUAAUCAUGCAGGUGCUUUUUUUGGAAGAAUGAUGAGAGUCAUACUUUCAGCAACAGUGCUACGUUAACUUGCAAAUUAUUUGGUACAGAACAUGUGUAUCCCUAUGUUGGUCUAAAAAGGCCCUUACAAACAUUGAACAAUAUGGGAUCAUAAACAGUAACAAUCUUCCAAGAUUAGGUCUUUCACAGUUAAGGUUCAAAGGCUCUUCCACUGUGAAAAUGUUGUUGAAUCAUCAACCAUUUGCUGAACUUCCUGACAAAGCCUCUGCCUAGGGGAUAAAAAUCAAGCGAGGAAGAGUCUGUAGUUAAUCACACAAGCCUUUUUAAAGUUGCUGUGUGAUAAUAAUUAAUAUGUACUUAGCUCUUCAGUAGGUUUUGCUGCAGUCCUGGCUUUCUACCAUAUGUGAGGCUCUUUUUGUCUUGUCACAACUCCUUUGUUUUCCAGAGGGUUUUCCUAUAUAAUCACUUCUUUACAAGGAGGAUUAUUUUAUAGGCUCCUUUUGCCACAAUGUCAACAUUUCUAAUUUGAAGGGCUCGUAUCUUGUAAAUGCCAAGCAAAAUGCUAUGACUAUUACAUGUAUCUAAGGCUAAUUUUUUUAACAUUUGUUUAAAAAUCUCUGCUCCUCCAUUGCAUGUUUUGGCUCUACACAUGAAAAUGUGCACAGUCACAUUCAAACACAUAUUUGUGUAUGUUAUAUGUACCACCAAAGACAAACAAAUGGCAUUAACUUGUCCAGUCUUUCACCUGUCAUCAGUUUAAUGGCUAAGUCUAUUUUCAUGGUAGCACUGAAAGAAUAGGGCUCAGUAUUUGAAACCCACUGUGGGAGCCUGACACUGGCAAUGCAGGGAUAGUCACACUGUGAUGUCAGUGCAGAGCAUAUCAAGCACAGGGUCACUGCUAUCACUGGUAUCUCCUUGG